This is a long non-coding RNA of Notothenia coriiceps (black rockcod), 375 nucleotides long. RefSeq lists it as uncharacterized. The record is from RefSeq and is a predicted model, not a curated record. The transcript has 3 exons. Lineage: Eukaryota; Metazoa; Chordata; Actinopteri; Perciformes; Nototheniidae.
GACAUUACAAAAAAAAAACAUUCCGGAAGUGCUCCAGGCCUCUAGGGGGCGCGCUACGUGGAACAGAUUGAUGUAUGACCAGACAUAGAGAGAACGAACAAGAGUGAUGGAAAUCGGGAGGAAAGAAAGUUCAUUUAAGUGGAGAAAGAUAUAAGAAGGCUGCCAUGUUUUGUCCUUUCUGUGGCCAACAUCUGGGGACAGUUCAAGUGUUCUGUGGCUCCUGUGGCAAAAAUGUACAGUUUUUGGCAGAAGUUGAACACAACAGCAUUCCAUAAGGAGGGUCAGGAACUCACGCUUGGGACCACCAGUGUCCCCUCCAUCCUCAGUGUGUCCCUCAUCAUCAGUGAACUUAACUGACAUCUCAUGAGAGCGAUC